AACGGUCUAUACCUGCGGUACCUGCGGAAGGAUCAUUACCGAGUUAGGGUCUUUUGGCCCGACCUCCAACCCUUUGUUUAUUAUACCAUGUUGCUUUGGUGGGCCUGCCUUUCGGGGCUGCCGGGGGCAUCACUGCCCCUGACUCGUGCCUGCCAGGAGCCUUCUUAAAUUCAGUGUUCAACGGUGCUGUCUGAGUCCCAGUAUCAAAAUAUCAAAAACUUUCAGCAACGGAUCUCUAGA
This 240-nucleotide unclassified non-coding RNA is filed under the name soil metagenome. RNAcentral's name for it is "partial contains 5.8S ribosomal RNA, internal transcribed spacer 2, and large subunit ribosomal RNA". The record is from RNAcentral.